Molecule: small nucleolar RNA, 103 nt
Organism: Sorex araneus (European shrew)
Lineage: Eukaryota; Metazoa; Chordata; Mammalia; Eulipotyphla; Soricidae
Product: small nucleolar RNA U13
Exons: 1
Source: RefSeq, a predicted model, not a curated record
AUCCUUUUCUGUUUUAUAAGCAUCAUGAUUGGCCAUUCACACGUCUUGUGAGAUGUGCCUCCCAUAAAUCUUAUUACACAUUUAGCAUAUUACUCAUUUGACA